This 2319-nucleotide long non-coding RNA is filed under the name Androctonus crassicauda. The record is from RNAcentral. Lineage: Eukaryota; Metazoa; Arthropoda; Arachnida; Scorpiones; Buthidae.
CUUCUUCUGGAGGUCUAAACUGAGUCUAUUUUCGUUAAGUUUAAAACUGGUUUUAAGAAACUAUGAGUGAUAAGAAUACCACCUUGCUGGUUUAAACCUCAGACUACGUUUAAACUAGUAGCUUAGAUAGGUCAGAAUACGGGAAUCAGUGUUUACAAUCUUUAAACUAUGGUCACCGACACAUUGACUACAAAAGGUCUGAUGUACACUCCUUGGCAUAGUGAGCCAAAUUUACUACAUUUAAAGCACUGAAUUAAGGAAAAAUAAUCAGCAAUCCCACAUUUACUCCAUUCGAUAUUCACGAUAUUUAUAUGUUUAGAAUCUUUGCUUUUACCCCAUUUGAAUUUGAAAACCAUCUCCUUUGCAAAUUCUUCCUUCUCAUUAUAUUCUGUUCGAAUUUCAUCAUUUUGUUCAAAGAUAAACUCAGGAAUCUCUUUGUCACCAAUUUCUUGGGGCACAUUGUAUAUGACAAUCUUAGGCAGUUUUUUGACAGGCUUUCGUAGCUGUCAAAUCUUUGAUCUUAUUGAUUUCAGCAUUUACGACAUCCACUUCAGUUGCCAUUAUUGACCUCAAUGACGACUGAUUUCUUUCUUAAUAAUCUAAUAUUACGAACUCCCACCUUGAAAGUCUCAGCAUUGAUCACACUCUUGACCUUCGUCUUUGUCAGCCCAGAGCUCCCCUUUGUGGGCGCUCAUUAUCAGAAGAUUUUGUCCACUUAGCAAUGUUUUCGGUUUCGACAUCUCGACAUAACUUUCAACUUUCGGUCCUCUUUCCUUAUGUUCAAUAUCAUGUCCAACUUCUUGUGGACCCUAACAAUCUCACUGUUGAGGUUAGAAGAUUGCUACUCCAGGAUGGGGAGCAAUGUCUUGACAGUCUUGUCAAAACUUUCAAGGAUGAAAAGCGAGUGAUUUUUCGUCUCCAAUCUAGAGGAUUGAUUGUCAUUCAUAUAAGCAACUAGUUCACUUCUUAUUUUGGUUUUUCCGAGCAUAUAGGAGAAAAUUCCUCUUCAUCUCCUUGCCGGAGAUUCCCUUCCGUCCCGAUUGCCCAUGAUAAUUAGUAAGAGUGGCAGUGAAAACUGUCGUUUACAGAUUUGCUGUUAGUUCCCCUGCAAAGCAGGGGUUAACGGGGCGACCACGGGAAGGUCAGCAGAUAGUGCGUGUAUUAUGCUUAGCAAAAAGUGAAAGUAGGAUCACAGAAAAGUGGAAAAUUUUGUUAAAAGCAAAUUAGUAACUGAGCGAUAUGCUAAGAACACACUAAGAGCCCCAAUACCUUUAUACAGUCUAAGUUCACUAAGGGGCUCUCAGUGGGUUAGCAUUUUAACAAAAAUCUCUGUACCUGGCUGAUGAGUGUAUUGACAUACGGCGGUGUCUCUACGGCGUAUUUCUGGUGGGGCUGGGCAACUCAUACCCUAGAUUUGGGGGAGAAUUGAUGAAAUCCGUUUCGUUCUUUCGGGCCUCGUUUGAAUUUCUAUAGAGAGGUCCUGCAGUGUCAGCCAUACCCUGUUUAGCCAGCGCCGGGACCCCAUACGCUGUCUCAAGUCAAAAAAUUCCUAUUGUGUAAGUAGAGCCUGGCAGCACCCAAUCCUCGCUGAUGGAUGCUCUGUAUUUCGCCACUCUAUAACCCGAGUCCCCGUGGGUCCGAGAUUAAGAAUCGUCCUGACCUAUGACCUGCGUGAAGUAAAAAGUCCUCUAACAGGGUUCCACAUCUCAGGAUAGCGUACCAUGCUGACGGGAUGAAUGGCCGAGAGAUAGAAACCUUAACAUACCCAUCCGAGAGUUGGUCUGGCUAGGACUGUAAGGGAUUCGUCCACAGACUAGCGGAGCUUUUCCCUAGGAGCUUUUUCCUAGGGAAUUAUAAAACAUGGUGGAGUUACUCCAAGCGGUAUUCGACCGCGCCAGAGCCAGGCCAUUGCACGGCGACGGUCGAUAUCAUCCCAACGAUGGCUUGCCGUAGUCAAUGACUGCCCGUAGGCUGCAUCGGGUUCGAAGCGGUGAGAUGAAGUCAUCUUUUGACCAAAAAAGAAAAGCAUCACUUCUCAGACUGCCACUGUUUCUUUUUGGUCAUGAUGCCACUUUUCAUUCAAUUAGAACAUUAAGUAACUGGGCGAAACAAACCCUUCUACAGGCUGUCCAUCCCUGCGGAGGGGUCAGCCGUGUAGUGAAGGAGGGCGACGGACGAGCCGAGCCCGGACACUAUGAUAAACAUUUUCAAGGUAAGAAUCGAUACUUGAACCCGAGUCUUCCAGAAUGGAAAGCCGAAGCGUUCCCACGCGGCCAAUCCAGCUGACACUGUCACCAUUUAGGUUUUUAUCCCUCUGCG